Molecule: ribosomal RNA, 494 nt
Filed under: uncultured bacterium
Lineage: Bacteria
Description: partial 16S ribosomal RNA
Rfam family: Bacterial small subunit ribosomal RNA
Source: RNAcentral
GACGAACGCUGGCGGCGUGCUUAACACAUGCAAGUCGAACGGAAAGGCCUGCUUUCCCUUGUGUAUUGCGGGUACUCGAGUGGCGAACGGGUGAGUAACACGUGAGUGAUCUGCCCCCAACUUGGGUAUAAGCCUGGGAAACUGGGUCUAAUUCCCGAUAGGACUGCAGGGUGGUGCCUGUGGUGGAACACGAUUUUCUAGUGGUUGGGGAUGAGCUCGCGGCCUAUCAGCUUGUUGGUGGGGUAAUGGCCUACCAAGGCGGCGACGGGUAGCCGGCCUGAGAGGGUGGACGGCCACAUUGGGACUGAGAUACGGCCCAGACUCCUACGGGAGGCAGCAGUGGGGAAUAUUGCACAAUGGGCGGAAGCCUGAUGCAGCGACGCCGCGUGGGGGAUGACGGCCUUCGGGUUGUAAACUCCUUUCGACCGCGAGGAAGCCACCUGGUUGGAAGGGUGGUGACGGUAGUGGUAGAAGAAGCACCGGCUAACUACGUG